UUAGAUAGAUCCUCAUGUGUCCCAGGACUGGCCUGAUGACUCAGGCUGGCCUUGAACUGCUGAUCGUCCUGCUUUCACCUACCAAGUGCUAAGAUUAUAGGUGCACUUCCACCCUACCCCCAAAACCCCCACCACAUAUGCAGAUUUUUGUACCCCAAGGGUCACCCUCCACACCCACACGCUGCUCGCUGCUCGCUGCUCGGCUCCGCUCUUGCUAUUUUUCAGUGAGGAGGAGUUUCUCUCAGGCUUUCAGAGGCUGAGCAGCUCUGGGAGAAGAGGCUGGCUUCUAGUCAGCAGAUGCCCCACUUCACAAGGUUUUCUGACCCCAGCCCCAGAAUCACUCCGUUGCAUUUUAAAGAGGAACAAAACUGGUGUUGAGAAGGGUCAUUCAGCUCCCAAAGAAAGGAUCUCAACCCACAGUUUGAGCAGCUGGUACAGAGAGACAACCAAGACAGAUCGGUCUCCCAAAAUCUUAUCAGAAGUCGAAGUAGACUUUCCAAAGUGAACAUGUGAACAAGAGCCCGGAGAGUGGCUUUCUUUUUUUUUGUUUGUUUGUUUUGUUAUUUUUGUUUGUUUGUUUGUUUGUUGUUGUUGUUGUUGUUGGUUUUUCGAGACAGGGUUUCUCUAUAUAGCCCUGGCUGUCCUGGAACUCACUUUGUAGACCAGGCUGGCCUCUAACUCAGAAAUCCACCUGCGUCUGCCUCCUGAGUGCUGGGAUAAAGGUGUGUGCCACCUCCACCCUGCUGGAGUGGCUUUCUAAAGGAACCUGGACUAAACCUUCAAAAGGUUCAGUUCAGUAUGCCUCGUCUCAGAACCCCAGACAAAGCAGGGUGUGGUGACAUUAAUUAGCAAUCCCAGCUCUCACCAGGCAGAGGCAGGAAGGCAGCCUAGAAUUCAAGGCUAAUGAGGUAUUCUAGUGAGUACUUACAUAUGCUGGGCAGCCUAGCAUAUGUAAGAUAAAAAAAAAAAAAAUGGCAGUUGUGAACACCCUUUCCCCUGCUCUCGGGAGGCAGAGGUGGGCCAGUGAGACCUACAGAGUGAGAGACAACACUGUCUCAAAAAGAAAAUGAAAGAGGAAAAAAAAAGUCUGAGGACAUCCCUCAGUUGCUAGAGUCUAGUUUGCAUGCAGCCCUGAAUUCCAGCCAUCCUUCAGCCCCACAAAAACAGGUCGUGGUGGCUCACACAGAGCAUUUCAGCAUUCCGGAGGUGGAGGAAGGAGGAUUAGGAGUUCAAGGUCACCUUGGACAAAGCUAGCUGGAAGAGAUCUGGGCAACAUGAAACCCUACCUCUCCCAUCCCUCUCCCCCACAAAAACUGAGACAGUGGUGCUCACUGCUUCGAUCCCAGGGCUCCAUAGAAAAAUCCUAUCUUGAAACACAUUUUUAAAAAGAAAGAAAGGAAGGAAGGGAGGAAGGAAGGAAGGAAGGAAACACAUUAUAAAGAAAUCCUAAGAUAAUGCUUCCUUUCCUUCUUUCCUAUCUAGGUCACUGAGCCACCAUCUCUUGUUAGCACAAAUGCCUAGAAUCAACAGACGACACAGGACAUUGUAAGAUGCUGUGGAAAGUAUAGGCUGUUCAGAAAACCACCUAGCAGCUCCCAAAAGGUUCAACAACAACGACAGAAGGAAGAGCCACAUAACCCAGGGACUUGGACCUCCAGCACUCAGAACCCGGCCUAGACCCAAGGCUCUCUGGAUAAGGUCCAGGUAAACUGCCCGGAGGACACUUCUGUUCUCCGGAAGCUUUCGAUGGAGGCCUCAGGAAAAAGCAGACAAGAAAACGCUAGCGGCUGGCAACAAAGGCGAGAUAAUUACCACCUCUAAAGAAUGGGCUACUGAGUCAGAGAGGACUUCUGGUUUCCCAAAAUAGGCCAGAGUCUGUCUGUUCUCUUGGUUUGCCUCUGGUAGGUCAAGAGUCAGGAGUUUAAAAGGCUUCAGGUCCCCCCUGUGGAAACGCUCCAUCCCAUCCAUCCCUCCUUUAUUUUGAUGUUUAUUAAAUGUACAUAUUCACCUUACCUCCCAAUAUCAGCGCUUCCCCCCCCAU
Mus musculus (house mouse) is the source of this 2041-nucleotide long non-coding RNA. RefSeq annotates it as pluripotency associated transcript 29. NCBI's taxonomy places the organism in Eukaryota, Metazoa, Chordata, Mammalia, Rodentia, Muridae. The transcript has 4 exons. The record is from RefSeq and is a predicted model, not a curated record.